GAUGAACGCUGGCAGAAUGCUUAACACAUGCAAGUCUUUGGCGAAGCUGUUCUUUCACUGCCUAGCCAGGGCGGACGGGGGAGUAACGCGUAAGGAACUUGCCCUGCAGUCAGUGAUAACAGACGGAAACGACUGAUAAGACCUGGUAAAGUCAGGCGGACUCAUGUCGAGCCUGAUGGAAAGAGAUGCUGCAGGAGAGCCUUGCGUCCUAUUAGCUUGUUGGUGGGGUAACGGCCCACCAAGGCGAUGAUAGGUAGCCGGCCUGAGAGGGUGGACGGCCAUAAGGGGACUGAGAUACGGCCUUUACUCAUACGGGAGGCAGCAGGGGAGAAUAUUGGACAAUGGGGGCAACCCUGAUCCAGCAAUUCUGUGUGCAAGAUGAAGGUUUUCGGAUUGUAAAGUGCUUUCAGCAGGGAAGAAAAAAAUGACGGUACCUGCAGAAGAAGCGACGGCUAAAUACGUG
Molecule: ribosomal RNA, 463 nt
Filed under: uncultured bacterium
Lineage: Bacteria
Description: partial 16S ribosomal RNA
Rfam family: Bacterial small subunit ribosomal RNA
Source: RNAcentral